This is a non-coding RNA of Dallia pectoralis (Alaska blackfish), 73 nucleotides long. The record is from the annotation of a GenBank genome assembly. NCBI's taxonomy places the organism in Eukaryota, Metazoa, Chordata, Actinopteri, Esociformes, Umbridae.
UCCCCUGUAGCUCAGUUGGUAAAGCUUGGUAUUUGCUAUGCCAAGGUUGUGGGGUUGAUUCCCACAGAUGGCC